RNAcentral lists this transfer RNA (66 nucleotides) under Amblyomma ovale. Its description in RNAcentral is "tRNA-Asn". Lineage: Eukaryota; Metazoa; Arthropoda; Arachnida; Ixodida; Ixodidae. The record is from RNAcentral.
UUAAUAGAAGCCAAAAUCUGAGGCUAUUCACUGUUAAUGAAUAAAUUGACUGCUUUUUCCUAUUAA